Long non-coding RNA from Populus nigra (black poplar), 214 nucleotides. RefSeq lists it as uncharacterized. The record is from RefSeq and is a predicted model, not a curated record. The transcript is spliced from 2 exons. Lineage: Eukaryota; Viridiplantae; Streptophyta; Magnoliopsida; Malpighiales; Salicaceae.
AUUUAUUCUUCUUUUUGGAGUUCCCUGUUGGUUUAAUUAGUGAUUGAAAAAGGUUGUUUAUGCUUUUGGGUUUCCCAUCACGAAUGCUUAAUGGUCAGACGUGAAUUGAAAAAAAAAAAUCCACACUGGUCAUCUCGGGAAGAUAAUUGCCGCAUCUAGAUAGCUUUUAAUGUGAACAGUGAAGUUACAGCAGUUUUGAUGCUUUAUAUGGAAA